Molecule: ribosomal RNA, 492 nt
Filed under: uncultured bacterium
Lineage: Bacteria
Description: partial 16S ribosomal RNA
Rfam family: Bacterial small subunit ribosomal RNA
Source: RNAcentral
AGUGAACGCUGGCGGUAGGCCUAACACAUGCAAGUCGAACGGCAGCACAGUAAGAGCUUGCUCUUACGGGUGGCGAGUGGCGGACGGGUGAGGAAUACAUCGGAAUCUACUUUUUCGUGGGGGAUAACAUAGGGAAACUUACGCUAAUACCGCAUACGACCUACGGGUGAAAGCAGGGGAUCUUCGGACCUUGCGCGAUUGAAUGAGCCGAUGUCGGAUUAGCUAGUUGGCGGGGUAAAGGCCCACCAAGGCGACGAUCCGUAGCUGGUCUGAGAGGAUGAGCAGCCACACUGGAACUGGGACACGGUCCAGACUCCUACGGGAGGCAGCAGUGGGGAAUAUUGGACAAUGGGCGCAAGCCUGAUCCAGCCAUACCGCGUGGGUGAAGAAGGCCUUCGGGUUGUAAAGCCCUUUUGUUGGGAAAGAAAAGCAGCAGGUUAAUACCCCGCUGUUCUGACGGUACCCAAAGAAUAAGCACCGGCUAACUUCGUG